This is a long non-coding RNA of Chenopodium quinoa (quinoa), 701 nucleotides long. RefSeq lists it as uncharacterized. The transcript has 3 exons. The record is from RefSeq and is a predicted model, not a curated record. Lineage: Eukaryota; Viridiplantae; Streptophyta; Magnoliopsida; Caryophyllales; Amaranthaceae.
CAUGGUUUUCUCGUAAUUACACUUAUUGACACGCCAAGAGCUUAUGCUGAUCUCAAAUCUGAGGAACUUGGUCAGGGUGAAGCUAUAGCUCAAAACAUAAGGUCUAUGUUUGGACUGAGAGUUCCUGUCAUCUCAAUAGUCACCGGUGAAGGUGGUUUUGGGGGAGCUCUGGCCAUCUGUUGCUGCAAUAAAUUGUUUAUGCUUGAGAAUCCUGCUUUCUAUGUUGCUAGGUUUUCUUCGCAUCUAUUGUCUAUUUUUGGUUUCUUAUUAUUAUUCAAAUUCCUUCAUCAUUUUCCAAUACAUGCUUACCUUAUUAUUUCCCUUUUGACAUUCCUGAAGCAUGCGUUGCAAUAUUAUGGAAAUCUGCCCAAGCAGCCCCAAAGGCUGCUGAAAACAUGAGGAUAACAGCCCAAGAACACCUUCGGCUAAAAAUUGAUGAUGUUAUCAUUCCUGCAAGCUUUUCUAAAUUCUCAAAUUUCUGCCUGAAAUCAACAUGAUUUGUUUGGACACUUGGAAUGCGUUCAUUUGGACUGCAUGCUUAUUCCACAUAAUUGGCAGGUGUGAUACUUUUGUGUUCUUUGUGUGAUAUUCUUUCUGAUUAUUUGUCUCGAACACUCUUCUUUUUUCUUUUUGCUGUUAUUCUGAAAUGUUGAUUUGAAGCAAAUUUCUUGUAGAGACAUACUUCGUAUACCUUAAAAAUA